This 478-nucleotide ribosomal RNA is filed under the name uncultured bacterium. RNAcentral's name for it is "partial 16S ribosomal RNA". It matches the Rfam family "Bacterial small subunit ribosomal RNA", at positions 28 to 523 of the family's 1533-position model. The record is from RNAcentral.
GACGAACGCUGGCGGCGUGCUUAACACAUGCAAGUCGAACGGUAAGGCCCUUCGGGGUACACAAGUGGCGAACGGGUGAGUAACACGUGGGUGAUCUGCCCUGCACUUCGGGAUAAGCCUGGGAAACUGGGUCUAAUACCGGAUAGGACCACUGCCUGCAUGGGUGGUGGUGGAAAGCUUUUGCGGUGUGGGAUGGGCCCGCGGCCUAUCAGCUUGUUGGUGGGGUGAUGGCCUACCAAGGCGACGACGGGUAGCCGGCCUGAGAGGGUGACCGGCCACACUGGGGCUGGGGUACGGCCCAGACUCCUACGGGAGGAAGCAGUGGGGAAUAUUGCGCAAUGGGCGCAAGCCUGAUGCAGCGACGCCGCGUGAGGGAUGACGGCCUUCGGGUAGUAAACCUCUUUCAGCACCGACGAAGCGCAAGUGACGGUAGGUGCAGAAGAAGGACCGGCCAACUACGUGCCAGCAGCCGCCGUAA